UACGUAGGGUGCAAGCGUUAAUCGGAAUUACUGGGCGUAAAGCGUGCGCAGGCGGUUGUGCAAGACAGAUGUGAAAUCCCCGGGCUCAACCGUGGGAAUUGCAUUUGGUGACUGCACGGCUAGAGUGUGUCAGAGGGGGGUAGAAUUCCACGUGUAGCAGUGAAAUGCGUAGAGAUGUGGAGGAAUACCGAUGGCGAAGGCAGCCCCCUGGGAUAACACUGACGCUCAUGCACGAAAGCGUGGGGAGCAAACAGG
Molecule: ribosomal RNA, 255 nt
Filed under: uncultured bacterium
Lineage: Bacteria
Description: partial 16S ribosomal RNA
Rfam family: Bacterial small subunit ribosomal RNA
Source: RNAcentral